RNAcentral lists this ribosomal RNA (597 nucleotides) under Trachylepis striata (African striped mabuya). RNAcentral's name for it is "partial 16S ribosomal RNA". It matches the Rfam family "Bacterial large subunit ribosomal RNA", at positions 768 to 1868 of the family's 2925-position model. The record is from RNAcentral. Lineage: Eukaryota; Metazoa; Chordata; Lepidosauria; Squamata; Scincidae.
AUAAGGAUGAACCCGUCUCUGUGGCAAAAGAGUGGGAAGAUCUAGCAGUAGCAGUGAAAAGCCUAUCGAGCCUGGUGAUAGCUGGUUGCUCAAUAAAUGAAUUAAAGUUCGACUUUAGGUUACCCACCAAAUUUUAAAUUCCAUAUAACCUAAAAGCUAGUCAAUAAGGGUACAGCUUUAUUGACAUUGGAUACAACCUCCACUAGAGAGAAAGAAAUACUACUUACCCCGUAGGCCUUAAAGCAGCCACCAAUAAAAAAAGCGUCAUAGCAACACAACAACAAAUACCUUAUAUAACAACUAACUCCUAGCAAAACAUUGAGCUAAACUAUAAUUAUAGUUAAACUUCUGCUAAAACUAGUAACAAGAAACAUUCUCUCUGCACCCCUGUAACCCAGAAAUAGAAAAACUACUGGACCUUAACAGACCAAAAUAGGCACAACACAACCCAUUGUACCAACCACUGUUAAACCAACACCGGAGUGCUAUCAAGAUAGAUUUAAAGUUGUAUAAGGAACUCGGCAAAAUUUACCCCAACUGUUUACCAAAAACAUAGCCUUUAGCAAUACAAGUAUUAAAGGUCCCGCCUGCCCAGUG